RNAcentral lists this ribosomal RNA (513 nucleotides) under uncultured bacterium. RNAcentral's name for it is "partial 16S ribosomal RNA". It matches the Rfam family "Bacterial small subunit ribosomal RNA", at positions 28 to 523 of the family's 1533-position model. The record is from RNAcentral.
GAUGAACGCUGGCGGCGUGCCUUAUACAUGCAAGUCGAGCGGACCAAAGAGAGCUUGCUCUCUGAGGUUAGCGGCGGACGGGUGAGUAACACGUGGGUAACCUGCCUGUAAGACGGGGAUAACUUCGGGAAACCGAAGCUAAUACCGGAUGAUAAAGAGAAACGCCUGUUUCUUUUUUGAAAGUCGGCCUUGUGCUGACGCUUACAGAUGGGCCCGCGGCGCAUUAGCUAGUUGGUGAGGUAACGGCUCACCAAGGCGACGAUGCGUAGCCGACCUGAGGGGGUGAUCGGCCACACGGGGACUGAGACACGGCCCAGACUCCUACGGGAGGCAGCAGUAGGGAAUCUUCGGCAAUGGACGAAAGUCUGACCGAGCAACGCCGCGUGAGCGAUGAGGGCCUUCGGGUCGUAAAGCUCUGUUGUCAGAGAAGAACAAGUACCGGAGUAACUGCCGGUACCUUGACGGUACCUGACCUGAAAGCCACGGCUAACUACGUGCCAGCCGCCGCCGUAA